This 335-nucleotide unclassified non-coding RNA is filed under the name Hevea brasiliensis (rubber tree). The record is from RNAcentral. Lineage: Eukaryota; Viridiplantae; Streptophyta; Magnoliopsida; Malpighiales; Euphorbiaceae.
GACCCUCUCGACAGCGUUCAAGAUUAUUGUAUUUAAUGCCAGCUACUUCACCCGUGGAAAAGCUACCAUCGUUGCCAUGCUUACAGCCAGAGUCAGUUUGAUAGAGCAUCAUGUUUUCCUUGUCUGUAUCUUUUUUUGCAUAAUAGCCACCUUUUUCCUUAUCUAAAUUAUAGAACUUACUGUCCACUUUCGAGAUCUUCCAAUCUUGAGCACUGUUUCCUGCCCCCUCUUUCACAAUUAAGUUACCCUUAGAUGAUUCAUCCACCUCAUGACACUCAAAUUAAAUGCAAGCCUGAAUCUUCACUGAAACGCCUACUGAAACUUCUUUUGCAUUU